AUUGAACGCUGGCGGCAGGCCUAACACAUGCAAGUCGAGCGUGAAAGUCCUUCGGGAUGAGUAAAGCGGCGGACGGGUGAGUAACGCGUAGGAAUCUACCUAAUAGUGGGGGAUAACGUUUCGAAAGGAACGCUAAUACCGCAUACGUUCUGAGGAAGAAAGCAGGGGAUCGCAAGACCUUGCGCUAUUAGAUGAGCCUGCGUCCGAUUAGCUAGUUGGUGGGGUAAAGGCCUACCAAGGCGACGAUCGGUAACUGGUCUGAGAGGAUGAUCAGUCACACUGGAACUGAGACACGGUCCAGACUCCUACGGAGGCAGCAGUGGGGAAGUAUUUGGACAAUGGGGGCGAACCCUGAUCCAGCCAUGCCGCGUGAGUGAUGAAGGCCUUAGGGUUGUAAAGCUCUUUUGCCAGGGAAGAUGAUGACUGUACCUGGAGAAUAAGCCCCGGCUAACUUCGUGCCAGCAGCCGCGGUAAU
RNAcentral lists this ribosomal RNA (475 nucleotides) under uncultured bacterium. Its description in RNAcentral is "bacterial SSU rRNA". It matches the Rfam family "Bacterial small subunit ribosomal RNA", at positions 30 to 524 of the family's 1533-position model. The record is from RNAcentral.